GAUGAACGCUGGUUGCGUGCCUAAUACAUGCAAGUCGAGCGAACGGACGAGAAGCUUGCUUCUCUGAUGUUAGCGGCGGACGGGUGAGUAACACGUGGAUAACCUACCUAUAAGACUGGGAUAACUUCGGGAAACCGGAGCUAAUACCGGAUAAUAUUUUGAACCGCAUGGUUCAAAAGUGAAAGACGGUCUUGCUGUCACUUAUAGAUGGAUCCGCGCUGCAUUAGCUAGUUGGUAAGGUAACGGCUUACCAAGGCAACGAUGCAUAGCCGACCUGAGAGGGUGAUCGGCCACACUGGAACUGAGACACGGUCCAGACUCCUACGGGAGGCAGCAGUAGGGAAUCUUCCGCAAUGGGCGAAAGCCUGACGGAGCAACGCCGCGUGAGUGAUGAAGGUCUUCGGAUCGUAAAACUCUGUUAUUAGGGAAGAACAUAUGUGUAAGUAACUGUGCACAUCUUGACGGUACCUAAUCAGAAAGCCACGGCUAACUACGUGCCAGCAGCCGCGGUAAUACGUAGGUGGCAAGCGUUAUCCGGAAUUAUUGGGCGUAAAGCGCGCGUAGGCGGUUUUUUAAGUCUGAUGUGAAAGCCCACGGCUCAACCGUGGAGGGUCAUUGGAAACUGGAAAACUUGAGUGCAGAAGAGGAAAGUGGAAUUCCAUGUGUAGCGGUGAAAUGCGCAGAGAUAUGGAGGAACACCAGUGGCGAAGGCGACUUUCUGGUCUGUAACUGACGCUGAUGUGCGAAAGCGUGGGGAUCAAACAGGAUUAGAUACCCUGGUAGUCCACGCCGUAAACGAUGAGUGCUAAGUGUUAGGGGGUUUCCGCCCCUUAGUGCUGCAGCUAACGCAUUAAGCACUCCGCCUGGGGAGUACGACCGCAAGGUUGAAACUCAAAGGAAUUGACGGGGACCCGCACAAGCGGUGGAGCAUGUGGUUUAAUUCGAAGCAACGCGAAGAACCUUACCAAAUCUUGACAUCCUUUGACAACUCUAGAGAUAGAGCCUUCCCCUUCGGGGGACAAAGUGACAGGUGGUGCAUGGUUGUCGUCAGCUCGUGUCGUGAGAUGUUGGGUUAAGUCCCGCAACGAGCGCAACCCUUAAGCUUAGUUGCCAUCAUUAAGUUGGGCACUCUAAGUUGACUGCCGGUGACAAACCGGAGGAAGGUGGGGAUGACGUCAAAUCAUCAUGCCCCUUAUGAUUUGGGCUACACACGUGCUACAAUGGACAAUACAAAGGGCAGCGAAACCGCGAGGUCAAGCAAAUCCCAUAAAGUUGUUCUCAGUUCGGAUUGUAGUCUGCAACUCGACUACAUGAAGCUGGAAUCGCUAGUAAUCGUAGAUCAGCAUGCUACGGUGAAUACGUUCCCGGGUCU
Molecule: ribosomal RNA, 1372 nt
Filed under: uncultured bacterium
Lineage: Bacteria
Description: bacterial SSU rRNA
Rfam family: Bacterial small subunit ribosomal RNA
Source: RNAcentral